AGUGAACGCUGGCGGUAGGCCUAACACAUGCCAGUCGAACGGCAGCACAGUAAGAGCUUGCUCUUACGGGUGGCGAGUGGCGGACGGGUGAGGAAUACAUCGGAAUCUACUUUUUCGUGGGGGAUAACGUAGGGAAACUUACGCUAAUACCGCAUACGACCUACGGGUGAAAGCAGGGGAUCUUCGGACCUUGCGCGAUUGAAUGAGCCGAUGUCGGAUUAGCUAGUUGGCGGGGUAAAGGCCCACCAAGGCGACGAUCCGUAGCUGGUCUGAGAGGAUGAUCAGCCACACUGGAACUGAGACACGGUCCUGACUCCUACGGGAGGCAGCAGUGGGGAAUAUUGGACAAUGGGCGCAAGCCUGAUCCAGCCAUACCGCGUGGGUGAAGAAGGCCUUCGGGUUGUAAAGCCCUUUUGUUGGGAAAGAAAAGCAGCAGGUUAAUACCCCGCUGUUCUGACGGUACCCAAAGAAUAAGCACCGGCUAACUUCGUG
This 492-nucleotide ribosomal RNA is filed under the name uncultured bacterium. Its description in RNAcentral is "partial 16S ribosomal RNA". It matches the Rfam family "Bacterial small subunit ribosomal RNA", at positions 29 to 507 of the family's 1533-position model. The record is from RNAcentral.